This 229-nucleotide ribosomal RNA is filed under the name uncultured bacterium. RNAcentral's name for it is "partial 16S ribosomal RNA". It matches the Rfam family "Bacterial small subunit ribosomal RNA", at positions 568 to 796 of the family's 1533-position model. The record is from RNAcentral.
CGCGUAGGCGGCUAGGUAAGUCAGAAGUGAAAUUCCAGAGCUCAACUCUGGAGCUGCUUUUGAAACUACUUGGCUUGAGGAUAGACGGAGAAAAUGGAAUUCCACAUGUAGCGGUGAAAUGCGUAGAUAUGUGGAGGAACACCGGUGGCGAAAGCGGUUUUCUAGUUUAUACCUGACGCUGAGGCGCGAAAGCAAGGGGAGCAAACAGGAUUAGAUACCCUGGUAGUCC